This 253-nucleotide ribosomal RNA is filed under the name uncultured bacterium. RNAcentral's name for it is "partial 16S ribosomal RNA". It matches the Rfam family "Bacterial small subunit ribosomal RNA", at positions 524 to 776 of the family's 1533-position model. The record is from RNAcentral.
UACGUAGGAUGCAAGCGUUGUCCGGAUUUACUGGGCGUAAAGCGCGCGCAGGCGGCACUCUAAGUACGCUGUGAAAUAUCCCGGCUCAACCGGGAGGGUGCAGUGUAGACUAGGGAGCUAGAGGUCGGUAGAGGGGGGUGGAAUUGCUGGUGUAGCGGUGAAAUGCGCAGAUAUCAGGAGGAACACCGGUGGCGAAGGCGGGUCUCUGGGCCGAUAUUGACGCUGAGGAGCGAAAGCGUGGGGAGCGAACAGG